AGUGAACGCUGGCGGUAGGCCUAACACAUGCAAGUCGAACGGCAGCACAGUAAGAGCUUGCUCUUGCGGGUGGCGAGUGGCGGACGGGUGAGGAAUACAUCGGAAUCUACUUUUUCGUGGGGGAUAACGUAGGGAAACUUACGCUAAUACCGCAUACGACCUACGGGUGAUAGCAGGGGAUCUUCGGACCUUGCGCGAUUGAAUGAGCCGAUGUCGGAUUAGCUAGUUGGCGGGGUAAAGGCCCACCAAGGCGACGAUCCGUAGCUGGUCUGAGAGGAUGAUCAGCCACACUGGAACUGAGACACGGUCCAGACUCCUACGGGAGGCAGCAGUGGGGAAUAUUGGACAAUGGGCGCAAGCCUGAUCCAGCCAUACCGCGUGGGUGAAGAAGGCCUUCGGGUUGUAAAGCCCUUUUGUUGGGAAAGAAAAGCAGCAGGUUAAUACCCCGCUGUUCUGACGGUACCCAAAGAAUAAGCACCGGCUAACUUCGUG
Molecule: ribosomal RNA, 492 nt
Filed under: uncultured bacterium
Lineage: Bacteria
Description: partial 16S ribosomal RNA
Rfam family: Bacterial small subunit ribosomal RNA
Source: RNAcentral